RNAcentral lists this long non-coding RNA (1419 nucleotides) under Mus musculus (house mouse). RNAcentral's name for it is "long non-coding RNA chr11:65825161-65826580". Lineage: Eukaryota; Metazoa; Chordata; Mammalia; Rodentia; Muridae. The record is from RNAcentral.
UAGAAAUCAAUUUUAAAUUUGCAAAAAUAAUUUGCAAAGUAGACACAAAGAAGAAAAAACAUGAGUGGAUAUUUUAUUUGCAGUCUGUUUGGAUUGGAAACAUUUUUCUAAGCAUAGAGGUGAAAAAAUCUUUGAGGAAAAGAUUAACAGACUUAUAAUAAUAAUUUGCCUAUAAAGUAAAAAUAAUUCUAUACAUCAGAAUAACUUCAAACAAAAGUACUGCAACAAAAUUGGUGUAAAACAUUUUUGUGAAUUUGAUAGAUAAAUAAUGGUCUGUUUUAAUUUUUUUUAAAAUAGAGAAAAGUUAAACUAAGUUGAUGAGAACAAAUUACUUUUUUCAGUAAAAUUUGGACAUCAGUCUUGGAGUAUAAAAAGUAGCUCCCAGAUGUGGGAGGAAAAAGAUUUAUCCUUUUAUCACUGAGGAAUUAACAUUUAAAAUAACAAAAAUCCGUUUUUCACUGGUCUAAAUAGCAUACAUAGAAAAAGCAUUCAGUACUCAAGUAUUAGCACCCUCCCAUUUCUCCUGCCUAACAGCAUAGCAGAAGACGGGAGAGCCCUGCUGAGAAAGUCAGGAUGCCAGGAGGUGUUAGGAACUGCGGGGCUGGAGAGAUGGCUCAGUGGUAUAGGAUUCAUGUCGAAGAGCUGGGUUUGGUUCCCAGGAUCUACAUAGCAGCUCACAACCACCUGUAACUCUCACACACACACACACACACACACACACACACACACACACACACACAAUAAAUCUAAGAACAAUUUACCAAACCAAACCAAACCAUAUUGUUCAAGCCAUUAGGUAUUGCAGUUGUGCUCUGAGGAAUUCCUUUAAGGCAUUGAUCAGAAAAUGGGUAAACACUUAUGAAAAGAAUUGCUUAUUACAGUGAUAUUUAUUGUAGUAAAUAACAUGACUAAGGGCAUAGGUUUCCACAGUGGGGACUUCCUAAAUUCACAAUAUAUUUAUUAUUAUUUCCAUGGUGGCUGUUAAUGCACUCUUCUUUAAAGACAGCAGACAGUACUUUACUUUGAAUGGGCUCUGUCUUGGCACUCAGAGAAUGAACAUGUUUAGUUCUAUCUCUGAUCGGUGCGUAGGCCUGGCAGUUCAGGUAAGGUGAGAAUAAAAAGAGAGAAGAAAACAACCUCUUGUUUGUUUUUGUUCAGUUUGGUUUAACUUUUUGAGGCCGAGUCUGAGGUAGAGCUGCUGGCCUUGAACCUGUAGCUCAGGAUGUUUCCUUGUUUUUGUUUUUUGUUUUUAAGGAUGAGUCUUGCUCUGUUGCCUGAGCUGCCCUUGAACUUGUGAUCUUCCUGCCUCACCUUCCCACCCAGGAAUUAUAGGUGUAUGAUGCUAUGCCUGGCACUGAAUAAAAUCUCAGAUUUAUAAGGAUAAGGUAAUUUUAAAGAGUUUAAAUAAACCUUCCAACC